GGCCGCGCCCGAGCCGCGCACGCGCCCCGCGCACGCGCCCUGACGGAGUCCCAGCUAGCGUGGGCCCAUCUUCCUCGCGUCUCCUCGGGGAGCGUCGCCGCCGCUACCCUGAGCGCUGAGAGCUUGCGGAGCCGAGCCGCUGUCGAGUCCCGGCGGAAAGAAGCCCAAGGUGCCGGAGAAGCCCGGUCGUGGACGUUCUCGCUCCCUCAUCUUCGAGACCCGCACGCCCUGCGGAGAGGAAAUGACAGGCACGCCGCGACCGUGGGGCGGGGCUCGCGCGAGCUCCGGGUUUUCAGAGUCCGGGGCCGGGGCCGGGGCCGGAGCCGUAGAAGACAGAGUCGCGCGGGGAAGGCCCGGUACCCCGCCCUUUCCGCACCGACCCCUCUCUCGCAGUUGGACGGGAACGGGAGCUGCUGGCGGGAGCACAGCUGCGAGAAGGUGGCGUUUGAGGGCAGUGCGGGCUCGAAAUUGGAGCCCACAUUGCCUCUUUGGUGGAGGGAAGGGAGUGGUCCAGGUUCAGAGUCCCUUGCAGCUCGGAGCCGAGCCUGGGAGCUGAAUGACCCAGUGUGCAAGGCGCACCUCGGAGACCGAAAGCAACCGCUCCCCCGGCAUCAAUUUCACACUACCAGCAGAUACACGUCUCAGAAUCUGCGGCUAGGAAGAUCUGGGCUGCCAGAAGCUAAACGUGUGCAUUUUAUCAUCAGCCCCCGGUUUCUCGUUUUAGAGUGAGUUCCCACCUGCCCUACCUAAACUGACCUGAAACGGAAAGUUGUAUGCCCCCACGGCCAUCCUCACUGCAGAACUGCAGAGGGUUUUAAGCUCCUUAUUACCUGUUUCUUAUAAUCCUGUCCCUUUCCAGGCGAGUAUUUAUUGGAUAUUUCUACUUGUUUUAUCAAACUUCCUUUUCUUUUGACUUUAUAAAAAGCAAUGCCGGGAGGCUGAGGCAGGAGAAUCGCUUGAACCCGGGAGGCGGAGGUUGCAGUGAGCUGAGAUCUCGCCAUUGCACUCCAUUCUGGGCAACAAGAGCGAAACUCCGUCUCAAAAAAAUAACAAUGCUCGUCCUUAAAAUUAUGUGCAGAAGUUUACUGAAAAGUACAAGUUACUAUUUUUCCUUCUGAAGCACUCCUCACAGGUAACCUUAGAGUGCUUAACACAUAUUUGUUGAAUGAAUAAGUGCCCCCCAGUGAAUUUCCUUUGCCUGUACAAACAUAUAUGUACACACCUUGCUUUUUCUAUUUAACAGUACACUUUUAUCAUUUAACAUCUGCGUGGUAUGGUACUCCAUCCGAUGGUUGUACUAUUAUUUAACCACUCCGCUAUUAAUAAACAUUCAUGUUGUUUAUGUUUUUGGUUAUAAUAAACAUUCUUGCAGGCGGGAUCAUUGAACAACACAUGGAGUGUCUGACUCAAGCCUUGAGUUUUUCCGGGAGCUGAGAAUCAGUGUGGUGAUAUCGAAAGAACAUGAGCUUGGAAUCUGAAGGUACUGGCUAGGCAGAAGAGCUGAUCAUGUGCUCCCGAUAGAAAGUCCCCCUUGGUCGGGAAGGUUAGGGCCAUCCUCUGACUCAGCAGUUUUAGGAAAUAGAGGGGGAGAAGGAAGGUAUGUACCUUCCUUCCACCAGGGAGGCACGCCCAGCCCUAACCAGCCAGCAAGGCAGUAAGUCCUCCCAGCUCAUCUUCACAACCUGGGCUGGUGUCGGGAAGACUUUGGUUCCAGUGCUAGCUUUGGAAUCCUGGCCUCCAUCCCUUAAAAGCUUUGUGAUCUUAGGUAAGUCACAUCACACUAUCUCAAAGCCCCCGUUUCCUCACAGAAUGAUUGUUUUAGAGUUAUGUUUGUAAAUUACCUGGCACAUGUAGGCAUGUGACAGACUGUAACCAAUGUUACUCAAGGUCAUUUUGCACUGAUUCAUACUUUGAGCCAUUUCCUACUGUAGACUCUAGCACACAUUUUCAAGGCAGCUUCCUGAUAAUAAGGCUGUAGGAUAUUUUUGGGAAAUAAAUCCAAAUUGGCCAUUAAAACCAGAU
Molecule: non-coding RNA, 2022 nt
Filed under: Pongo abelii (Sumatran orangutan)
Lineage: Eukaryota; Metazoa; Chordata; Mammalia; Primates; Hominidae
Source: RNAcentral